This 581-nucleotide ribosomal RNA is filed under the name Paracentrotus lividus (common urchin). RNAcentral's name for it is "partial 16S ribosomal RNA". It matches the Rfam family "Bacterial large subunit ribosomal RNA", at positions 1817 to 2600 of the family's 2925-position model. The record is from RNAcentral. Lineage: Eukaryota; Metazoa; Echinodermata; Echinoidea; Camarodonta; Echinidae.
CGCUCCCCGAUAAAUAACAACAUGAGGAGUCCUGCCUGCCCAGUGACUAAAGGUUAAACGGCCGCGGUAUCUUGACCGUGCGAAGGUAGCAUAAUCAUUUGUCUUCUAAAUAAAGACUAGUAUGAAUGGCAAGACGGAACUGAACUGUCUCUUUUCCAAAUAAUCCGAAUUUCACUUCUCCGUGAAGAGGCGGAGGGUAAAAUCGUUAGACGAGAAGACCCUGUCGAGCUUUUAGCAAAAGCUUAACUAGUAAAACACUUAAACUACUCUAGUAAAUGAAUGUAAGUAUAAUUAAGCUACUAAGAUUAAGUGAAGCUUUGGUUGGGGCAACCGCGGAGUAAAAGAAGCCUCCGCUAAAAAAAAUAUUAACCACUAAACUAAGGACUACCAUCCUAUAAUCAUGAAUGAUUAAAUUGAUCCAUUUAGAUGACCAAAGGAACAAGUUACCGCAGGGAUAACAGCGUUAUCUUUUCUGAGAGUUCACAUUGACGAAAAGGUUUGCGACCUCGAUGUUGGAUCGGGACAUCCUAAAGGUGCAGAAGCUUUUAAGGGUUGGUCUGUUCGACCAUUAAAGUCCUACG